AUGAAGUUAUGCUAUAAAUACAAGAAUAACUCCUCUGAUGGAAUCUUUUACGAGAUGCUUUUGGAUAACUUAAAAGUUGCUGUUCUUUCUGGUGACUUAAAUGGUAUCAGCUCACAUAUAUCAAAGGAAAAACAACAAAGAGAAGAAAAAAGGCAAACAGAGCUUUCAAAAAGAAUCAAGCAGAUUGAAGAUCAAGCUAACAAAUACGCCCAGAAUAGAACUGUUGAUGAAGUAGUUAAAAGGUUGAAGGACAGAGUGAUACGAGAGGCAGCCACUACUAAAGACAGCUUUUUUUACCUACAACAAGUAUGAGAAAAUUAAUAAAGCUGGCUUGCAGAAGGUAGGAAAAAUGUUA
This 355-nucleotide long non-coding RNA is filed under the name Calidris pygmaea (Spoon-billed sandpiper). Its description in RNAcentral is "lncRNA (ENSCPGG00000004483.1)". Lineage: Eukaryota; Metazoa; Chordata; Aves; Charadriiformes; Scolopacidae. The record is from RNAcentral.